RNAcentral lists this ribosomal RNA (484 nucleotides) under uncultured bacterium. Its description in RNAcentral is "partial 16S ribosomal RNA". It matches the Rfam family "Bacterial small subunit ribosomal RNA", at positions 30 to 507 of the family's 1533-position model. The record is from RNAcentral.
AUUGAACGCUGGCGGCAGGCCUAACACAUGCAAGUCGAGCGGAUGAAGGGAGCUUGCUCCUGGAUUCAGCGGCGGACGGGUGAGUAAUGCCUAGGAAUCUGCCUGGUAGUGGGGGAUAACGUCCGGAAACGGGCGCUAAUACCGCAUACGUCCUGAUGGAGCAAGUGGGGGAUCUUCGGACCUCACGCUAUCAGAUGAGCCUAGGUCGGAUUAGCUAGUUGGUGGGGUAAAGGCCUACCAAGGCGACGAUCCGUAACUGGUCUGAGAGGAUGAUCAGUCACACUGGAACUGAGACACGGUCAAGACUACUACGGGAGGCAGCAGUGGGGAAUAUUGGGCAAUGGGCGAAAGCAUGAUCCAGCCAUGCCGCGUGUGUGAAGAAGGUCUUCGGAUUGUAAAGCACUUUAAGUUGGGAGGAAGGGCAGUAAGUUAAUACCUAGCUGUUUUGACGUUACCAACAGAAUAAGCACCGGCUAACUACGUG